This is a non-coding RNA of Trematomus bernacchii (emerald rockcod), 381 nucleotides long. NCBI's taxonomy places the organism in Eukaryota, Metazoa, Chordata, Actinopteri, Perciformes, Nototheniidae. The record is from the annotation of a RefSeq genome assembly.
CAUGAUGGACUAUAGGACAGGACUGCUGCUGCUCACUGUCUGCUGGGCAGGUGUUGGUGGUCAGACUCUGACAGAAUCUGAUCCAGUGACUAAAAGGCCUGGAGAAUCUCACAGAUUGACCUGUACAGCCUCUGGAUUCACAUUCACUAGCUACUACAUGGCCUGGGUCAGACAGGCUCCUGGGAAAGGACUGGAGUGGGUUGCUACUAUCACCAAUGGUGGUAGCACCCCGUACUACUCUGAGUCAUUUAAAGGCCGGUUCACCAUCUCCAGAGACAACAACAGACAGCAGGUGUCUCUGCAGAUGAACAGUCUGACGGCUGUAGACUCUGCUGUUUAUUACUGUGCUCGAGACACACAGUGACUGAAGCUGGUUGAGCA